This 28-nucleotide non-coding RNA is filed under the name Mus musculus (house mouse). The record is from RNAcentral. Lineage: Eukaryota; Metazoa; Chordata; Mammalia; Rodentia; Muridae. RNAcentral also lists the same sequence under 2 other names.
AACAAGGUUUCCGUAGGUGAACCUGCGG